GGCCCUGUCGUCUAGUGGACUAGGACACCGGCCCUUCAAGCCGGAGACACGGGUUCGAAUCCCGUCAGGGUCA
This 73-nucleotide transfer RNA is filed under the name bacterium. Its description in RNAcentral is "tRNA-Glu". It matches the Rfam family "tRNA". Rfam says of the family: Transfer RNA (tRNA) molecules are approximately 80 nucleotides in length. Their secondary structure includes four short double-helical elements and three loops (D, anti-codon, and T loops). The record is from RNAcentral. RNAcentral also lists the same sequence under 3 other names.